AAGGUUGUGACUACAGCGUACG
Molecule: microRNA, 22 nt
Filed under: Petromyzon marinus (sea lamprey)
Lineage: Eukaryota; Metazoa; Chordata; Hyperoartia; Petromyzontiformes; Petromyzontidae
Description: pma-miR-10b-3p
Gene: pma-miR-10b-3p
Source: miRBase by way of RNAcentral